RNAcentral lists this ribosomal RNA (453 nucleotides) under uncultured Paraprevotella sp. RNAcentral's name for it is "partial 16S ribosomal RNA". It matches the Rfam family "Bacterial small subunit ribosomal RNA", at positions 341 to 792 of the family's 1533-position model. The record is from RNAcentral. Lineage: Bacteria; Pseudomonadati; Bacteroidota; Bacteroidia; Bacteroidales; Prevotellaceae.
ACGGAAGGCAGCAGUGAGGAAUAUUGGUCAAUGGUCGAGAGACUGAACCAGCCAAGUAGCGUGAAGGAUGACUGCCCUAUGGGUUGUAAACUUCUUUUGUUCGGGAAUAAAGUGCCGCACGUGUGCGGUUUUGUAUGUACCGUUCGAAUAAGCAUCGGCUAAUUCCGUGCCAGCAGCCGCGGUAAUACGGAAGAUGCGAGCGUUAUCCGGAUUUAUUGGGUUUAAAGGGAGCGUAGGCGGCCUGUUAAGUCCGCGGUCAAAUGUCAGGGCCCAACCUUGGCAUGCCGUGGAUACUGGCGGGCUUGAAUGUGCACAAGGAAGGUGGAAUUCGUCGUGUAGCGGUGAAAUGCUUAGAUAUGACGAAGAACUCCGAUUGCGUAGGCAGCUGACCAAGCCGAUAAUGACGCUCAUGCACGAAAGUGCGGGGAUCGAACAGGAUUAGAUACCCUGGUA